Salmo salar (Atlantic salmon) is the source of this 54-nucleotide non-coding RNA. The record is from Rfam. NCBI's taxonomy places the organism in Eukaryota, Metazoa, Chordata, Actinopteri, Salmoniformes, Salmonidae.
UGCACUCACUACUGUAAAUCUCUCUGGAUAAGAGCGUCUGCUAAAUGACUCAAA